CUACGGGGGGCUCCAGUAAGGAAUAUUGGUCAAUGGGCGAAAGCCUGAACCAGCCAUGCCGCGUGAGUGAAGACGGCCUUCGGGUUGUAAAACUCUUUUCUAAGGGAAGAACCAGCAGGACAGGAAAUGGUCCCGCUCUGACGGUACCUUAGGAAUAAGGAACGGCUAACUCCGUGCCAGCAGCCGCGGUAAUACGGAGGUUCCAAGCGUUGUUCGGAUUUACUGGGCGUAAAGGGAGCGCAGGCGGAAGGGUCAGUCUGAAGUGGAAUCCCGGGGCUCAACCUCGGACGUGCUUUGGAUACUGCCCUUCUUGAGUCCGUGAGAGGAAAGCGGAAUUCGGGGUGUAGCGGUGAAAUGCUUAGAUAUCCUGAGGAACACCAAUGGCGAAGGCAGCUUUCUGGCACGUGACUGACGCUGAGGCUCGAAAGCGUGGGGAGCGAACGGGAUUAGAUACCCUAGUAGUC
This 464-nucleotide ribosomal RNA is filed under the name uncultured bacterium. RNAcentral's name for it is "partial 16S ribosomal RNA". It matches the Rfam family "Bacterial small subunit ribosomal RNA", at positions 339 to 795 of the family's 1533-position model. The record is from RNAcentral.